Molecule: ribosomal RNA, 377 nt
Filed under: uncultured organism
Description: partial 16S ribosomal RNA
Rfam family: Bacterial small subunit ribosomal RNA
Source: RNAcentral
GUAGGUGGCAAGCGUUGUCCGGAAUUAUUGGGGCGUAAAGCGCGCGCAGGCGGGGUUCGUUUAAGUCUGAUGUGAAAGCCCACGGGCUCAACCGUGGAGGGUCAUUGGAAACUGGAGAACUUGAGUACAGAAGAGGAAAGCGGAAUUCCACGUGUAGCGGUGAAAUGCGUAGAGAUGUGGAGGAACACCAGUGGCGAAGGCGGCUUUCUGGUCUGUAACUGACGCUGAGGCGCGAAAGCGUGGGGAGCAAACAGGAUUAGAUACCCUGGUAGUCCACGCCGUAAACGAUGAGUGCUAAGUGUUAGGGGGUUUCCGCCCCUUAGUGCUGCAGCUAACGCAUUAAGCACUCCGCCUGGGGAGUACGGCCGCAAAGGCUG